UUUGUUGGAUGGACCUCCCUUCGAGGACUGAGAUGAUUAAAACCCAGCGCUUGAUCUCAGAUUCACACACUCAUUCUCUCGCUCUGGACGCAUGGGGUUUUUCUUCCGUCCUGUAGGUCAAAUGGCGAAACCAUACGAGUUCAACUGGCAGUGGCCUGUUCCUCAUUUCAUGCAGGAAGGAGCAUAUUUUGACAGAUUUGAUGAGGAUCCGUUUGUCUUCGAAUCGAACUGUUUUUUCAAAGUGGAUGCGUUUGGAUUCUUCCUGACGUGGAAAAGUGAGGGAAAGGAGGGUCAAGUUUUAGAGCUUUCUCUUAUCAACAGCAUACGAGACACCAGUGUGCCAAAGGACCCAAAGAUCGUCUCGGCGUUGGAGGCGACGGGAAACUGUGAGAGUAACCUCGAGGACCGAAUCAUCUGCAUAUGCAGCGGCACAGACCUGGUGAACCUGAGCUUCAUGUGCAUGGUCACACAGAACAGCAGCACUGCGAAGCAAUGGAUGGACGGCUUGCGGUCAUUGAUUCAAAACUCUCGAGCGAAUAACGUGUGUCCGAUGACCUGCAUGAGAAAACACUGGAUGCGCUUGUCAUUUUUGACCAAUGUGAAUGGAAAAAUACCGGUGAGGAGUAUCACAAGAACCUUUGCCUCGGGCAAAACAGAGAAGGGUAUCUUUCAGGCGCUCAAGGAUCUCGGUUUACCCAGUGGAAAGAACGAUGAAAUCGAGCAUGAGAUCUUCAAAUUUGACAAGUUCUACAGCCUUACGCAGAAGAUUUGCCCCAGAACUGAUAUUGAAGCACUGUUCAAGACACUCAGGAGAGACAAAAGCGAUUAUUUAAGCGUAGACCAGUUAGUCUACUUUCUGAACGAAAAUCAGAGAGAUCCACGUCUGAAUGAAAUACUCUUCCCGUUCAUCGACUCUAAAUGUGCUUUCCAAAUCAUACAGCGAUAUGAACCAGAUGACAAACUGAAGAGGAAAGGUCUGAUGUCAUGUGAUGGGUUCUGCCGGUAUCUAAUGUCUGAUGAAAACGCUCCUGUGUUUCUGGAUCGGCUGGAGGUUUAUCAGGAGAUGGAUCAUCCGCUGUCUCAUUACUUCAUCAACUCGUCUCAUAACACGUACCUGACCGGCAGACAGUUUGGAGGGAAGUCGUCAGUGGAGAUGUACAGACAGGUGCUUCUGACCGGCUGCAGGUGUGUUGAGUUGGACUGCUGGGAUGGAAAAGGUGAAGAUCAGGAACCCAUAAUCACCCACGGCAAGGCCAUGUGCACAGACGUCCUCUUCAAGGACGUCAUUCAGGGAAUUAAAGAAAUGGCCUUCCUGACAUCAGAGUAUCCGGUUAUCCUGUCCUUCGAAAACCACUGCACGAAACAUCAGCAGUAUAAACUGGCACGCUACUGCGAGGACAUUUUUGGAGAUUUGCUGCUGAAACAGCCGUUAGAUGAUUUCCCGAUGGAGGCCGGAUCUCCGCUGCCGUCUCCAAAUGACCUCAAAGGAAAAAUCCUGAUCAAGAACAGAAGAUUAAAACCUGAAGUUGAAAAAAAACAGCUGGAGCACUUCAGGAAGCACAUGGAGGCCGGAGAGCCGAGCAUCUCCACAAACAUGUCUGAAGAUGAGAAUGAGGAGGAGACGUCCACCGCAGAGCUGCUGAACGAAGCUCAUCCCGAGCGGAUUCACGGAUGUCUGAUCACUGAGGAAGAGAGUCGUGAGGAAGAGGCGCUCCGACCCAGAAAGUCUGGUGAGACGAAUGUGGCUGACGAACAAGCCCUGAUUCAGUCGUACACGUAUGUGGCAGCCACCACUAACAUCCAUCCGUAUCUGUCCAACAUCGUCAACUACGCGCAGGCCGUCAAGUUCACCAGCUUUGAUGAAGCUGAAGAAGAAAAUAUCCACCACCACAUGUCUUCCUUCAACGAGUCUGUCGGUUUGGGAUAUUUAAGGACAAACGCCAUCGAGUUCGUGAACUACAACAAACGGCAGAUGAGUCGCAUCUACCCCAAAGGAGGCCGAGUGGACUCCAGUAAUUAUAUGCCACAGAUCUUCUGGAACGCCGGCUGCCAGAUGGUAGCGCUGAACUUCCAGACCCCAGAUUUGGCGAUGCAGCUCAAUCAAGGGAAGUUUGAAUAUAACGGCUCACGCGGGUUUCUGCUGAAGCCUGAUUUCAUGCGGCGGCCCGAUCGAAUGUUCGACCCGUUCUCAGAGACGCCUGUGGACGGAGUGAUCGCAGCCACCUGCAGCGUCCAGGUGAUUUCAGGCCAGUUUCUGUCGGAUAAGAAGAUCGGCACGUACGUAGAGGUGGACAUGUACGGCCUGCCCACGGACACCAUCCGGAAAGAGUUUCGCACGAGGAUGGUGAUGAACAAUGGCCUGAAUCCCGUCUACAGCGGAGAAGCGUUCGUCUUCAGGAAGGUGAUCCUCCCAGACCUGGCUGUGCUGCGAGUGGCUGUGUACGACGACAACAAUAAGCUGAUCGGACAGCGCAUUCUCCCGCUGGACGGACUGCAGUCGGGUUACAGGCACAUCUCCCUACGAAACGAGUACAACAAGCCUCUGUCUCUGGCCACUGUCUUCUGCAGAAUCAUCCUCAAGACAUACGUACCCGACGGCUUCGGAGCGAUUGCAGAUGCCCUGUCUGAUCCCAAGAAGUUCGUAUCGGUCUGUGAGAAAAGAACAGACCAAAUGAGAGCCAUGGGCAUUGAGAUGUCAGAUAUUGCCGAUGUGCCGAAUGACGGCUGGAUGGGGAGCAGGAAGCGGAAGGCGAUGCUGCAGCAGAAAGACUCCGAGAGACUGAGAGCAGCGCCGGGACAGAGCCCACUCAUCUGCUGCAAAGAGGAUACAUCAGUGCUCGCACCUCAGCUGACCAUCGAUGACCUAAAGCAGACAAAGACUUACUUGAAGCUUGUCAAGAAGCAGCAGAAGGACAUAUGUGCUUUGAAGAAAAAGCAGGCGAAGGCCCAUGUCGCACUGCAGAGCUCCCACUGCACUCAAGUGGACAGGACUGUUGCUCAACAUGAUAAAGAGAAACAAGCGCUGGAGAAGCAGCUCGAGAAAAGCAUCAGGAAAGUCAGUGACAAUUACAGCUUUGAAAUGAGCACAGACAUCGAAAAGCAGAUCAAGACUUUAACAAGCAAUCACAAAUCAAAGGUGAAGGAGAUGGUGGCCAAUCACGCGCUUGAAUGGGCAGAAAUGAUCAAAUGGCACUCGGCUGAAGAGCAGACUGUGAGAGAGCAGCAUGUGAUUCAACAGUGUGAGACGUUCCGGAAACUCCUGCUGAUGGAGCAUGAGAAGCAAACACAGCAACUCUCGCUUCUCCAUGAGAGACAAAAUAAAGACAUGCGAACCAACCAAGCGAAGACCUCGAUGGAGAGCAGCAAAGCCAUCAGUCAAGACAAAAGCAUAAAGAACAAGGCUGAGAGGGAACGGAGAGUUCGAGAGCUUAACAGCACAAACACAAGGAAGUUUCUUACAGAAAGAAAGAGGCUCGCCAUGAAACAGUCCAAGGAAAGCGAGCAACACCAGGCAGCUCAGCGGGAACAACUGGAGAGGCUGGAGAAACACAAUGAGGAGCUGUUGAACUCGUGCUAUGCAAAAUCACAAUGCCAAGGCCAGAGAGACUGCAGAGAAGACCGAACAGAGCGCUGAAGUGGAGCGAUCAAACCCACGGCUUGCAGACUUUCACAUGCACUAAUGAUCUACCAUAAACAUUGUGUAAAAGCUUGUGAUGUUUCUUAUUUUUGGAUGAAAUCCAUCUGCUCUAUGACUAUGUAAAUUAAAGGACUGUUUAGGGUUCAUUACGGAUGAAGCAGAGACACUCUUGAUGACCACAGAAACAAAAACCACUGCUUCACUUCAGAAAGACAGAGAAAACUUGCACAGACGAGGGAUGGAUUUGGAGAAAAGCAGCCAGGGCAGUGAGGGGGCCGACGCGUGCCUAAAAAUACAGCCGCAUGCCACUCACGAGGUGAAACUUUAAUUAAGACACGAGAUCUUCAUCAUUAUUCCACUCGACUG
RNA transcript from Carassius carassius (crucian carp), 4003 nucleotides. It is a transcript of the gene named 1-phosphatidylinositol 4,5-bisphosphate phosphodiesterase beta-4, with no coding region annotated. The transcript has 38 exons. Lineage: Eukaryota; Metazoa; Chordata; Actinopteri; Cypriniformes; Cyprinidae. The record is from RefSeq and is a predicted model, not a curated record.